UGCGCCUGCGCCGAACUCCCCGAGCGGCGCUUUGGGGCGGAGGCUGUUUUUUACUUGGGAAAUCCGCACUGUUUACUGCGCCUGCGCCGUGGCCGGAGCCUCCGGCGACCUCCUAGGUAUAGGGAGUUCGCUUGGUAAAUGUAGUCGGCCGGUCGUAUCCUCGCCGGGAAUAUUGGGGACUAGUGCUAGACGCGGGAGCAAGCCUACUGCUUUGCGGUGAAGAUCUAAAUAAGCUGCCAAUUGUUGCAGAUUGCUAUGGCCAGUAUGAGAGGCUUCCUGUGCAGAAGUCGUCUAGAAGAAAACCCUGAAAGAAAAACUGGACCAGUUCACUUUAUAAAACAAACAUUUGUUACAUCCUGAGUGCUGAACAAAAGUUCCCCCAAGGAAUUUAUAUUUUAUUAGAGGAACAGAUGUGAAUACAGUUAAAGUACAUAGGUUUUUGUUUUUGUUUUUGUUUUUUUGUUUUGCUUUUUUUGCUGAAGCAGUUAGGGUUAAGACUUGCCCAGAGUUACACAGCAAGGAAGUGUUAAGUGUCUCAGACCAGAUUUGAACGCAGGUCUUUUUGACUUAAGGGCUGGUGCUCUCUAUCCACUGCACCACCUAUCUGCCCUAAACAUAGUGUUUUCUUGGAAGAACAUACUAGCAAAUAAGAUGAUCAUCAUAAUAUAAUAAUAAUAUUUAUAAUAAAUAAUAAAAAGAGAGGGGCUUCUUAAAUUUUUUCCACUCAAGAUUUUUUUUGCCUGAGGAAUUUUUAUGUGACCCCUGCUAUGUAGGCAUAUAAAGUAAGUAUACAGAUCAAACAUUUAAAUCAUAAUUUCACAACCCCGGCAUUAGUUAAGAGACUCCAUAUGGGAUCUGGAGCCACGGUUUAAGAAGCUGAGAUAUAGGGGGUAGUACUUGAGCUGAACUUUAUCAUUCCAUCAGCAAGCAUUUAAAGCCCGAUGUGUUUUAGGCACUAUGCCAAGUAAAUAAUAAGGAUACAAAAAGCUAGCAGCGGAAUGCUAGGGAUUCUAAAAGUAAAAUGUGGAAGGAGUGAACUUGGUGAUGGAUACCUUGUCCAAAAAUAUAUGUUGGGGAAAUGAGAUGUCAUAUAAAGGAAACUACCCAAGUCAAUUUGGCUAGAAUAUAGAAUUUGAGAGUAGGAAGGUUAAAUAGUUUGUAAGCCAAUUGUGAAGAGUUUUAAAAGCCAAGGAAGAAUUUUCUUUAAUCCAAGGGGCAGGAAGAUACUACUGGCACUUUUUCAGCAAGAAGAUGACAUAGUCAGACCUAUGUUUUAGUAAUAUCAAUUUGGCAACUGUAUAGUAGAUAAUUUAGAAAGAGAGGCUAGAGGCAGGCAUUUAGGAAGCAAUUGCAAUAGUCCAAAACAAAUAACUUGAAUUGGAAUGAUGUCUGUAUUAGUAGAGAGAAAAGGAAAGAUGUAAGAUGUAUUUUGAAGGUAGAAUUGACAAUAUGAGGGAAAAUAGAAAGUUGCAGAUAAUCUACUAGGUAUACUUGAGUAUACUUGAGUAACUAGAAGGAUGGUGCCUUCAACAAAAACAGGAUGGACAGUUAUGAUUAGAUAAAAUUUAAAGUUUUGCACUAACAAAAUUAAUGCAGCUGAAAUUGAAUGGGAAAUGAGGGAAAAAAUUAUUGCAGCAAGUUUUUCUGAUGCAGAUUUCAUUUCUAAGGUAUAUUGAGAAUCAAUUCAAAUUUGCAAAAAUAAAAGCCAUUUCCCAAUUGAUAAAUUGUCAAAGAUCAAAAUGGUCAAAAACUACCUAUAUGAAUAAGCAGAGAAAAACCCAAGCUAUCAAUAGCCAUAUGAAAAAAUGCUUGAAAUUACUAGUAAUUAGAAAAAUACAAAUUAAAAUAACAUUGACAUACUGUUUCAUACAUAUCAGAAUGGCAAAAUGGACAAAAAAAAGAAAAGUGAAAACUCUGAGAAAACAGGUAUAUUAAUGCACUGUUGAUGGCAUAGAACUGGUCUGACUAUUCUGGAAAACAAUUUAGAAACUAUGCUCAAAAAGUUAUUAAAGUAUAUAUACUCUAGGUGGAGCAGUAGAUAGAGACUCACCUUCAAAUUAGAUAUCAGACACUUACUAAAUAAUUCUGGACAAGUCACUCAACUCUAUUUGCCUUAGUUUCCUUAUCUGUAAAAUGAGCUGCAGAAGAAAACGGCAAACCCAUCUCUGCAGAGAAAA
Long non-coding RNA from Antechinus flavipes (yellow-footed antechinus), 2177 nucleotides. RefSeq lists it as uncharacterized. The record is from RefSeq and is a predicted model, not a curated record. Lineage: Eukaryota; Metazoa; Chordata; Mammalia; Dasyuromorphia; Dasyuridae. The transcript is spliced from 2 exons.